RNAcentral lists this unclassified non-coding RNA (418 nucleotides) under soil metagenome. Its description in RNAcentral is "partial contains 5.8S ribosomal RNA, internal transcribed spacer 2, and large subunit ribosomal RNA". The stretch from base 1 to 120 matches the Rfam family "5.8S ribosomal RNA", at positions 35 to 154 of the family's 154-position model. The record is from RNAcentral.
GAUGAAGAACGCAGCGAAAUGCGAUAAGUAAUGUGAAUUGCAGAAUUCAGUGAAUCAUCGAAUCUUUGAACGCAUCUUGCGCUCCUUGGUAUUCCUUGGAGCAUGCCUGUUUGAGUAUCAUGAGCAAAUCUCAAAGUCAAUUCCUUUUGUUGAUUCAAUUGGUUUUGCUUUGGACUUGGAGGCCUUGCAGAUUUCACAGUCUGCUCCUCUUAAAUGCAUUAGCUGGAUCCCAGUAAUUAUGCUUGGUUCCACUCGGCGUGAUAAGUAUCACUCGCUGAGGACACUGUUAAAAAGGUGGCCAGGAAAAUACUGAUUGAACCGCUUCUAACGGUCUAUUAAGUUAGACAAUUACCCUUAAGUUUGAUCUCAAAUCAGGUAGGACUACCCGCUGAACUUAAGCAUAUCAAUAAGCGGAGGA